CCCGCGAAUACCACUGCAAUGCCCGCUCACAGCGCCGAUGAAGAAGUUCAACAGACUGAGCCCUCAUGUUCCAAUCCAGCGGGUCGACAACACAAGCCUUCUAGGUGCUCGCCCCGGACAGCCAGAAAAAUGAAGAACCUGGAGAAGAUAAAUUCAAGGCUUCGGAAGGCACUGUCAAGAAUUGGCAAGAGAAAGGUUAAAAA
RNAcentral lists this long non-coding RNA (203 nucleotides) under Rhipicephalus microplus (southern cattle tick). RNAcentral's name for it is "uncharacterized LOC119173385". Lineage: Eukaryota; Metazoa; Arthropoda; Arachnida; Ixodida; Ixodidae. The record is from RNAcentral.